This 124-nucleotide small RNA is filed under the name Marmota monax (woodchuck). Lineage: Eukaryota; Metazoa; Chordata; Mammalia; Rodentia; Sciuridae. The record is from RNAcentral.
GUUGGGUGCAGUGGUGCACACUUGUAAUCCCAGCGGCCAAGGAGGCUGAGGCAGGAGGAUCGCAAGUGAAAACCAGCCUCAGCCAAAGCGAGGUGUUUAGCAACUCAGUGAGACCCUGUCUCUA